Sitodiplosis mosellana (orange wheat blossom midge) is the source of this 2855-nucleotide RNA transcript. It is a transcript of the gene named esterase B1-like, with no coding region annotated. Lineage: Eukaryota; Metazoa; Arthropoda; Insecta; Diptera; Cecidomyiidae. The record is from RefSeq and is a predicted model, not a curated record. The transcript has 11 exons.
CAACGCAUUCAGUAGUCAAAUAUCAGCCGAUCGAUGAACUGAAUUCUGAUAAAAAAAAAUCUCCAGCCAAGUAAUAAACCAAAGAGUGAACAACGCACAACCGACAAACAGUCAAAUUCGUUUCGGAACAAUAAUUGUGUGUGUGCUUUUGUGUUGAUGUGUUUGUUCGAAAGACGAAAUCGCAAAAAAGCACCACAUAAACGAUGAUUUAUUGGCAGUGGUAUAAAAUGUGGAGAUUCAUUUUUGUGCUCGGUCUUGCAAUGCCUCUAUGGUUGGCAUGGACGAACGGAGGAGUGAAUGGUGAUGGUGGUGAUGUGGUCGAAAUUGAAAUUGAAAGUGGUCGAAUCCGUGGCAAACGCAGUCUAACCCUAUUCGGUGAAAAACCGUAUUAUUCAUUCCGUGGCAUUCCCUAUGCACAACCGCCGUUAAAAGAUUUACGUUUCAAGGCACCAAAAAAAGUUGCACCAUGGAUCGAUCCUUUGGAUGCAUUCGAUUUUGCUAGCGAUUGUACACAAAUCAAUUUCGAAACGGAUGAGGUUUUCGGCUCCGAAGACUGUUUGUAUCUCAAUGUAUUCGCUCCAGCCGAAGCCAUUGAACAGGCAACAAUUGGAAAUUUCUCGGUGAUUGUGUAUGUGAUGGGAGAAGCGUUUCAGUCAGGCAGUGCACGGCAUUAUGGGCCAGAUUUUUUGAUUGAAAAAGACGUGAUAGUCGUCACAUUCAACUAUCGCUUGGGAGCCAUCGGUUUUAUGUCGUUGAAUUUACCGGAUUUUGCUGGAAACAUGGGCCACAAAGACCAAGUGCUUGUGCUCAAAUGGGUGGACAAAAAUAUUAAACAGUUUGGUGGUGGUGGUGGUGAUGGGAAAACGACACUUCUGGGACAUGAUACAGGUGCAAUUAGUGUUAGUUUGCAUAUGAUUUCGCCGGCAUCGAAGGGAUUAUUUGAAAAUGCGAUAAUGUUGAGUGGAUCGGCAUUGAAUCCAUCAAUACCGCGGGUCAAAGAUCAUUUGACCAUUUUAUACAAUUUAGCCGAAAGCCUUCACUAUCCCGUGGAAAAUAAUCGUGAUUUGUUGGAAUUUUUACGCCAAAUCGAUGGUAAACUGUUGACAAAACGCACAUUUCAGGAUUUUAGCAACACGGGAUUUGGUCGACGUAUGGCCAAUUUGAUUUGGGCCACUGCUGUCGAACAUCCUCAUGCGGUUGACAAAUUCAUCGAUAGAACACCAUUUGACAUUCUCACCAAUGACGAAUAUAAAAGCAAUGUCAAUGCUUUGUUCGGUUGUACAUUCGAGGAAAUGUACGGUGAAUUCAUUAAUGAACUUCGAAAUCCCGCUCUGUUGAAGCCAUUUGAUGAAAUUUUCGAACUGCAACUUCCACUUCGGAAUGCCAAGCUAAAAUUCCAUUCAAAGGAGUACAAGGAAAUGUCGACAAAAGUGCGAGAACUUUACUUCAAAGGGAAUCGCGUUGACAAUGACACAAUUACCGGAUUCCAGCAGCUAAUGACCGACGUUUGGUUUUUAUACGGUAUCGACUUGAAUGCGCGUAUUCAUGCCAACAGAACGACCGGACACACAUUCUUUUCCACCUUUUCAGUGAAGAGUGACUGGAAUUUAAGUAGUCGCAAGGGCCGGAAAUUUGCAUUCAACUUUAAUUUUUCCAAUCAUUUCGAUCAACUGCCAUAUUUAUUCCGGCUGAGUGGUCAAAGUUUGCUUCCGGAUUCGUCGUAUCAAAAUUUGGCAGAAGAUUCACUGGAACGCAAAACAAUCGAUACGCUCACCGAAUUUUAUGCGAAUUUCGCCAAAUUCUCAAAUCCAUUACCGAAUAGCGAUCCGGUUAUAUUUCAAAAACGAAAUGCUGCUGAUACCGAUCAAUACCACUAUUUGGAUAUAACAAAUGAUGGUGUGGUUAUGAAAUUCGAUCCAAAUCGCAAGCGUAUCAAAUUUUGGAAUGAUAUUUUCGAAACGUACAGCGCACAUUGGCAAACACGUGAAUUCAAUUUGAAUUCAUUGGCCGUAAAAAUUCCAUUGUUGUUGCUUGCCUCGUUGUUAAGCGGAAUAUUUUGUUGCAAAGGAAUUAAUAUGUGCUUGAAGAAAAACCGAAAAUCAAUGGCUAUUCAUCAUUAAAUAUAGCUCCCCCAUCGAUUGCUCCUUCUUCAAGUGGAUGGUCGAUAGUCGGAAUUCAAUAAACACACACACACACUGAUAUAGAGUAGAAGAAUGAAGAGAACAGUUCAAGUGAUUUUCAACAAACAAAAUAAAAUUGGAAGUUUUUUUUUCGAGUGGCUUUAAAAACGUAGGAACAAUAAUCUCGACUCUUCCGUUUGCCGAUGUUGAAAAAGCGAUGCAAUGAGCACCAACCUUGAGGGAAAUGGUUCAAUUUCUUUGGACAAAGAAAAAUCACUUUCGUUUCAUGUGAAACUUUCGUAUUCGUUCGAUUUACCAGUAGAAAUGCUUCAUUUUUUCUGAUCGCAUCGAAAUGAAGAUUUUUGUUUUGUUUACAACGAUUUCCGUUGCAAUUGUCUCGUUUUUUUACAAGAAAUAUAACAAAACAGACGGUAAGAUUAGUCCAUUAAACUGUGGGAGUUGAGAAAAAGAAACAAUAACGCACAAAAUCAAUGGAAAAUUCAAUUGUUUGAAUCGUAGACUCCAAGACUCGAGUGAUAUUGGCUAAAUGGCUGGAAUUUCAUGCCGAAUCAAACAAUCAAGUUGGAUUCGAGCAGGACAAACAGAAUGAAAUGGGAAAGAGAUGGAACAGCAACGAAUGAGGAUCGACAAUGCAAUACAUGAGAACGUCCUAUGAUAAAAACUACAAUUGUGUCAAACAUCAAAAGCUAAAACAAGAUACGGAGAAAGGAUAAG